GACGAACGCUGGCGGCGUGCUUAACACAUGCAAGUCGAACGGAAAGGCCUGCUUUCCCUUGUGGAUUGCGGGUACUCGAGUGGCGAACGGGUGAGUAACACGUGAGUGAUCUGCCCCCAACUUGGGUAUAAGCCUGGGAAACUGGGUCUAAUUCCCGAUAGGACUGCAGGGUGGUGCCUGUGGUGGAAAACGAUUUUCUAGUGGUUGGGGAUGAGCUCGCGGCCUAUCAGCUUGUUGGUGGGGUAAUGGCCUACCAAGGCGGCGACGGGUAGCCGGCCUGAGAGGGUGGACGGCCACAUUGGGACUGAGAUACGGCCCAGACUCCGACGGGAGGCAGCAGUGGGGAAUAUGGCACAAUGGGCGGAGGCCUGAGGCAGCGACGCCGCGGGGGGGAUGACGGCCUUCGGGUGGUAAACUCCUUUCGACCGCGAGGAAGCCACCUGGUUGGAAGGGUGGUGACGGUAGUGGGAGAAGAAGCACCGGCUAACUACGUG
RNAcentral lists this ribosomal RNA (494 nucleotides) under uncultured bacterium. Its description in RNAcentral is "partial 16S ribosomal RNA". It matches the Rfam family "Bacterial small subunit ribosomal RNA", at positions 28 to 507 of the family's 1533-position model. The record is from RNAcentral.